RNAcentral lists this ribosomal RNA (660 nucleotides) under uncultured bacterium. RNAcentral's name for it is "bacterial SSU rRNA". It matches the Rfam family "Bacterial small subunit ribosomal RNA", at positions 54 to 711 of the family's 1533-position model. The record is from RNAcentral.
CAUGCAAGUCGAACGGUAGAGUAGCAAUACUCGAGAGUGGCGAACGGGUGAGUAAUAUAUCGGAACGUGCCCAGUCGUGGGGGAUAACGUAAAGAAAUUUACGCUAAUACCGCAUACGAUCUAAGGAUGAAAGCGGGGGACUUCGCAAGAGGCCUCGCGCGAUUGGAGCGGCUGAUAUCAAAUUAGGUUGUUGGUGAGGUAAAAGCUCACCAAGCCGACGAUCUGUAGCUGGUUUGAGAGAACGACCAGCCACACUGGGACUGAGACACGGCCCAAACUCCUACGGGAGGCAGCAGUGGGGAAUUUUGGACAAUGGGCGAAAGCCUGAUCCAGCAAUGCCGCGUGUGGGAAGAAGGCCUUCGGGUUGUAAACCACUUUUGUACGGAACGAAACGGUUCGCCUUAAUACGGCGGGCUAAUGACGGUACCAUAAGAAUAAGCACCGGCUGACUACGUGCCAGCAGCCGCGGUAAUACGCAGGGUGCGAGCGUUAAUCGGAAUUACUGGGCGUAAAGCGUGCGCAGGCGGUUAUAUAAGACAGUUGUGAAAUCCCCGGGCUCAACCUGGGAAUUGCAUCUGUGACUGUAUAGCUAGAGUACGGUAGAGGGGGAUGGGAUUCCGCGUGUAGCAGUGAAAUGCGUAGAUAUGCGGAGGAACACCG